This 304-nucleotide signal recognition particle RNA is filed under the name Eutrema salsugineum. Its description in RNAcentral is "Plant signal recognition particle RNA". It matches the Rfam family "Plant signal recognition particle RNA". The record is from Rfam by way of RNAcentral. Lineage: Eukaryota; Viridiplantae; Streptophyta; Magnoliopsida; Brassicales; Brassicaceae.
GUCGAGCUCAGUAACGCGGGCUUGUGAUCCAAGUGGAGACUACAGGGUGAUGGAACGUUCGAUCGAUCCACUGGGCCGGGUUCGGGCGGGCUUUAAUCUGGCCUGCCCAUUCCAAGUUGGGAGUUGAGGCAUGGGAUUUGAGCGAAGGCUUGGAUCAUAUGCCUCUUAGAGUGGGGGAGAUUGCGUAAGGCUGGUUUCACAGAGCAGCGUCAACCUCCCGCUCUCGACGGUGGAAGGAUAACGGGCCGUUGCCUUUCGAGCCCACUAUGACCCAGUAGGCUGAUCUAAUUGAACCAUCACUUUU